GCAAGCGUCGUAUAAUGGUAAUACCCGACCUUCCCAAGGUCGUGCCGCGGGUUCGAUUCCCGUCGCUUGCUCCA
This 74-nucleotide transfer RNA is filed under the name Bacillota bacterium. RNAcentral describes it as "tRNA-Gly". It matches the Rfam family "tRNA". From Rfam's summary of the family: Transfer RNA (tRNA) molecules are approximately 80 nucleotides in length. Their secondary structure includes four short double-helical elements and three loops (D, anti-codon, and T loops). RNAcentral also lists the same sequence under 1 other name. The record is from RNAcentral. Lineage: Bacteria; Bacillati; Bacillota.